GUUAUUUCGGUGCUCUUGGCCAAGUGAGACGUCUAGCAGACGAUAAAAACACUUCCCAUUUCUCGCGUGUGUACUAGACUUGAAUGUUUCGGACUAUUUCCUCCAAGUAGACAAGGGAAUUGUAUACUAUUUAUAUUACGUGUACACAAACAAGGGUAGACAACAUCCAUCAAUGUAUACCAAAGGGUAGGCAACAUCCAUCAAGAUUCCCAAUCUAUCAACUAUGUGAAGGAAACAGAUUCCACAAGGGGAGACGACUCGCGUCCAGGAGAGACGACUGGAAAGUUGAACAAAUAUCAAGGAAUAAUAAAUAACAGACGGAUUUAAUUUUGGGCCAGACAAGUGCAGAAAAAAAAUGGGAGCAGCAGGGGCGGACUCGCCUCUUAAAAUGUGCGCGACUCUCGUGUAUGUGCUGCUGGUUAUUUCCCAUGUCAGUUUCACAUCUUCCUCGGUCAUUCACGACUUUGACCGCGCUUUCCAACAAUUCUUACAGGACAAUGGCUACCGCGGAGGAGUGGUAGCCGCAAUGAGAGAUGGUAAGCUGGUGAUGACCAGAGGGUAUGGAGAGGACCGGCGGGGCAAAACAGUAACCAGUUCUUCCCAAUUCCCAAUAUCAAGUGUGUCCAAAUCACUGACCGCCGUGGCCAUCCUGCAGUUGGUCCAGAACGGACAACUGACCCUUAAGGAUAAGGUAUUUGGAGAGUCCGGUAUUCUGGGCGAAAUCAGCCCUUGGGACAAGAGCAAAGUGGAUCCCAGGUUAGCAGACAUCACAGUCGACCAUCUUCUGCAUCACAGCGCCGGGUGGGACCACAGCCACGGACCACUUUAUGACCCCGUUCUUAAUCAGUUCUACCGAAGACGUGGGCAAAAAGUCCCUAACAUCGCACAAGAAAUGGUUAGCAAGCAGCCACUGGAUCCUAAGUUACUAAUUAGCUACGUCAUAUCCCAACCCUUGCAGUACCAGCCUGGAGCUAGGACGGCUUACUCGAACUUUGGCUACCUGGUGCUAGGAAGGGUGAUAGAGGCAGUCAGCAAUACCACUUACAAGGACUAUGCUAGAAAGAACAUUGUCAGCCGGUGCGGCAUGUGGAACACGCACAUACCAACAGAGGCAGAACCCUGGGACGUGAUGGAGGUUAUGGAUGAAGGAGCCUCCGUGUACCAGUCCCUGGAGCCCAGCUCUGUAGACUCGACACUGGGCUGGCAAUCCAACGUCUACGAUAUGAUGCGAUUUGUCAGAUGCACCUUUGAGUCUCAACAAGUUCUAAAUGACAGACAUCUGGAGCUCCUUCUCUCUCGAACAGAUUUCUCAGAAGAAGACGUAUGGUUUGCAGCUGGCUUCCGUGCUAACGCUAAGAACAUUGUGUGGCAAGAUGCCGAUCCGCAUGCCGAUGAUCUGAUUUUGUAUCACAACACAAAUCCAACUGAGGGUCACGGUUCGGGCAUCCCCGAUUCGUGGAUCAUAGCACUAUAUGACAACGCCAUGAACCAUCUGAGGCAGCAGACCAAAGAAAUCAUGCUGCUUCUGGAGAAUAUCUCGCCCCAGGAGAACCUGUUCCUUUACGACAUAUCAGAAAUACACAGCCAUCCGUCCUAUGAUCCUCGCCAGACGUACAAUGCACUGCAGUAUACAAUCAGGUACAACCUGGACGAGCACCAGCUCAGCGCCUACGUGGAUGCCCUUCAAGAGGAAGGCCUCGGCAUCCACUGGUUCACCUCGUCCUACAUCCACGACCGCACCCUCUUCACCAUCAUCGGAAAGCAAUUCUCACAGCCCACGAGGUCGCAGUACGACUACCUCUUCGAGCACGGCAUGAGCCACCGCUACUUGCUUCAGCGGAAACUGCAACUGGAAGAGGUCGGCUACAACAUGACACAGCUCCACAGCUACAGGAGCAGUACCCACUCGAAGCAGGUUGUCUUCGCCGCAGUAUUCCGCUUCGAGGCAUUCUCUGUGGACAAGCAAAUGAAGUACGGGACCAACCAUCUUCCAGAGCCCUACGACAAGCUAGUGGAGAUGUACAACGAGAAGCACUUCUACCCGAUAUGCCAGACCGUUGUUUUCGAAAACGACAAGGAAGAGUUCUCGUUCAUCUUUGUCAAAGACGCAGGGGACACUCGAAUCGAGUUCAAACACAACUACGACCUAAACACAAAACGCCUGGCCAAGCUAACAACAGACAAUGCCAAGGUGCACCUGCACUUGUCUUAUCUCAACGCCUACGACGUGGAUGGCAAAUUUAAGUUUGCUGCAGUGUUCAGCAAUGUCACAAGCCUACCCGGGGCUUUAGAAGUUGACCAGCCAGAAAGCAGCGUCACGGAGUUGGCCAUAAGGAGCUUAAGAAAUGGGAAGAUCCCAAAAUAUAUUGUCUCCUACUUGGAAGACGGAAAUAUCAAAUUUGCAGUUUACUUCGAGGAAGUGUAGACAUCUUUGAACAGAACUGUGCCUUAAGUGAUUUUGUUGCAAUGUUUUCAUUUGUGGAUCUGAAAGCUUCUUACUAUAAACAAUUACUUGUAAAAGUAUGUAGAAGUUAAACUUCAUCAAUAAUGUAAAAAACAACAACAAAGAUUUAAAAAGGCUACCAGUUUUCCUUCAAAUUAAAAGACAUUGAACAUUGAGGACUGUCUAGCCUUUACCAUAAAACAGAAUGCUCUUGACAUUAUAAUGUUUGUAAAUGGAACAGGACAAGGACAGUGAAAAGCCUUGUACAUUUAUUAAUACAAGGGAUUUGUCUGUACAUGUUGUGACUGGACUUUUAUAUUUAUCAAUAAGCUCUAAAUUAUUCAAAAGGCCAUGUAGUGAAAUAUAAAUACUGUAAAACGAAUUGUUACUUAUUAACAUCACUAAAAAGUAAUUAAAUCUUUAAAAUAACCAGUGAUUAAUCACAAAAUAUGAAUAGCAUUUUACGAUAAUUAAAUUAUAAAGAAUAGCAUGUCAGUAUGUGACCCAAUGCAACAAAAUGCUAUCAAAUUCACUGGUGAAUUUUCAAGAAAUAGUUAGAUAUUUUGAGUAUUUUUUUUUUCCUUUUUGAGUUCUUGCCUAUUUAUUUGUAUACCUUACUAAAAUACAUUUAACAUUUUAUAUAUUUCAUUUUAUUUUCUGACGGGAACACAUGUGACAAGCAUGAAAAACAAAACAAAACUGGGUGUUAUAAAUGGUGAUAAAUAGAAGUUAAAUGCAUUGUGUUUUUAUUCACAUUUGUGUCAUUGUUUACAAGAUAAAUGUGAGACUAUAUCAAUGUAGACUAUUUGAAAUAUAAAUGUAUUAAUGAAGUCAUGUUGUGUGUUCACCUAUUCAAAACAAAAAUUGUGUAUUGUAUUUAUAAGAGUGCAAACAUUACUCAAUAAGUGUAUUAAGUCAUUAAAAGAACAAAUAUAAUGCUUUCAAAGUGAAUUGGCGUCUCAUUUCAAGGAUUACCACAGCAUGAAACAAAGAUUGAAAUGCCUUGGGAUGAGUAAUACAUUUUUUUACGUGUAUGCUAACCAGGGUCAAUAAAAUAUAUUGGAAGAUAGGUGAUUAAAGUAUAACUUGAACUUUAAAUAAUUUAGACACAGCCUAUAUACUAGUAUAAAAUUACAAUUUUAUUUUUAAAAUUUAGACUAAGAGCGAGAGAGAGUGAGUGAGAGGGAAAGGAGUCAAGUGCCAUAACUUAACAUUGGCUGGCAAACACUACAAUCACACAUCCUGAAAAAAAAACCCACAAAUUUGCUACAUCAGACCUUCCUUGACCAUGGUGGUGUAAUGACACAAGAUGCGUAGAAGUUGAUGUGAAUCGGGUUUUUCCUAAGUAAUGUGACGAGUAAGAACAGAGUAGGAUUAUGAACAAGAAGAAUAAAAGACAAGACGCCUAAGAGGACGACGCUAGGCUAGCGACGACAGAGGACUGUGCCCUUUUUAUUGUUUAUUAAAUUGUUGAAGUUAUCAGCCUGCGUUAUUAAGUAUAUUCUUGAUUCAUUCUGUUGUUGUGUCAUAUGGACUCGCAUGCACCAUUAACAUAUAUAUACUCAUCAACAAAAUAGACCAUCAACAGAUGUGGCGACCCACGACGGCCAGGGCGUCAUUUUGAUCUACAAUCUAGUUAACUUCGUGUUCUGGAUAUAUCUAUCUACAAUUCUACACUUGGCGAAGUACACUGGAGAAGUACUGGAUUAACAUUCGUUUAUUUCCACUAGAUCUACCCUACGUCUGUGCUAAUUAUCUGGACUGCAGCUGGAUUUUGGCAUCUUUGUUCCAGUGGAUCUAGACUUUCUAUUAGAGAAAAUUCGAAACCGUUACCAGCGUCUAGCUUUGUCAGCCAGGUUAGAUAUUUUUAGAUUGAACCUGGAUCUAUAUAUAGAUCUAUAUCUAUUGUGUCUGAAUCCAGAACUAUUUCGUCCGUUGAAGUGAUUUAGGGCAGUCCGUCGUCAGUAUACCUCUAUCUAAAUAUAUAUACCUCAAGACUACUCAAGAGUGAAGAUACCUCAUUUUGUCAGGUUUAUCUGUUUAUUGUGAGUACGGAAAGUCACCUGAGUCUACAUAUCUAGUAUCUACAAGCUGACCGUUGGAUCGAGUCACCUUGUCAGGAAAGGUUUGGUGUGAUGUGUGGCAACCACCAACGUACAUAUAGCCAAUAACAGUAUUUACUCUGAAAAACUCUGUUUUAUGCCUGUGGAGUCAGCAAAGGCAUCUUCGUAUGUGGACUAUAUACAUGUGUAUUUACUCUGAAAAACUGUUUUAUGUCUGUGGAAUCGACAAAGGCAUCGUCGUAUGGGGACUGUAUACAUGUCUUGAUGGACUUAGUACUAUUGGUUGGUACUGUAUACAUGUCUUGAUGGACUUAGUACUAUUGGUUGGUGAAACUAUUACACUGGACUAUACUAUUUUAUCGUCAAUGACAUGAGUGAUGAUUAGAACACCGUAUACCGGAUAUUUUCUUACCAAUAACUGUAUUGGAACUGUACAUAUUGUUUUCUUGGUGUCAACAUUCAACUACAGUGUGAACUUUGUGACAUAGGAACAUGGACAAUUUUACCAGGAACUGAUGAAGAUGGGAAACAUGAUGAUGUCCAUCAAGAUCAAGAUAUAUGUUUGUUUUGUCUUUCCCCAAAAUUUUGGCCAUGUAUAUUGUACAGACAUGACAGUAGGGAUAGUGUUUUAGACUGAAAAAAAAAUUGACAAAAUUUUUUUUUUGAUAAAGGGGGGAGGAAAUAUGUAAUGACACAAGAUGCGUAGAAGUUGAUGUGAAUCGGGUUUUUCCUAAGUAAUGUGACGAGUAAGAACAGAGUAGGAUUAUGAACAAGAAGAAUAACGGACAAGACGCCUAAGAGGACGACGCUAGGCUAGCGACGACAGAGGACUGUGCCCUUUUUAUUGUUUAUUAAAUUGUUGAAGUUA
Molecule: RNA transcript, 5374 nt
Organism: Biomphalaria glabrata
Lineage: Eukaryota; Metazoa; Mollusca; Gastropoda; Planorbidae
Exons: 9
Source: RefSeq, a predicted model, not a curated record